GAGAGUAGCAUAUAUUAUUCAAAAAAAUUAUAUAAAAAUUAUUAUAAAUUACAAUAGUUAACAAGUUAAAAUAUCCAAGAACAAUUUAAUAUGUUAUAUAUUUCAAAAAAAAAUUACAUGAAAAAUACUAGAAAUCACAAUAAUUAACAACUUAAAAGAUUUAAAAGAUAUAAAAUAUUUGGUCGACUUUUGAAAUUAUAUUAGUGUCACUGGAAUUGGAAUAGAAGAAAAGUAUUAUAAAUCACAAUA
RNAcentral lists this long non-coding RNA (249 nucleotides) under Capsicum annuum. RNAcentral describes it as "long non-coding RNA (CANN_LNC013243)". Lineage: Eukaryota; Viridiplantae; Streptophyta; Magnoliopsida; Solanales; Solanaceae. The record is from RNAcentral.